AAUAGUAAUGCAUAUACUCCCAGAUAAACCACACGUAUACCCCUACCCUUUAGAAAACAUCAAUUUAUUUAGAGAAAUAAAAAUAAGAAAAACAUGACAAAAACUCUCAUCCCAAACCCGUCGCCUACUACCUUCUAUGUGUCUCUUUUCUUCUCAAGCAGGAACUCCCCCAAACUUGAAAUUUGAAACCCAAAUUGAUAUCUUGCAGUGGCACACUCCACCCACGAAUAAAUUUUCCGUCGUAGCCACCCCAAUCGACUUGUUCGGGCAGCAGCUGUAGCCGUUUCCGAAUCUGCCGCUGCCACUGUUGUCUCCAUCGCGAACAGCCGCUGCUAUCAGCACUGCACUCCGCGCCGCCGUCUCGCGGUUGGCUGCUGCUCGAGCAGUUAUGAGUUGCUGUUCGGUAGCUCCGGAUCGCUACUCGGCAGCCCCGAAGAUGAUGGGAGGAGAGGAAGACGCUUGAACAUGGAGGAUGAGGAAUCCUUUGCUAAAUUUUAUUUAAUUAUUUUCUUCUAUCCUCAAUUGUAAUCAAGUAAAAGAUUUAGGGAAAGGAGAAACGGUUUUUAACGUGGGUUGAGGGAAGUUUUCGAAUUCUCCAUUUUUUUUGAAUUA
Long non-coding RNA from Salvia splendens (bonfire salvia), 612 nucleotides. RefSeq lists it as uncharacterized. The record is from RefSeq and is a predicted model, not a curated record. The transcript has 2 exons. NCBI's taxonomy places the organism in Eukaryota, Viridiplantae, Streptophyta, Magnoliopsida, Lamiales, Lamiaceae.